RNAcentral lists this ribosomal RNA (370 nucleotides) under uncultured bacterium. RNAcentral's name for it is "bacterial SSU rRNA". It matches the Rfam family "Bacterial small subunit ribosomal RNA", at positions 46 to 392 of the family's 1533-position model. The record is from RNAcentral.
CAGCCUAAUACAUGCAAGUCGAGCGAACAGAGGAGGAGCUUGCUCCUUUGACGUUAGCGGCGGACGGGUGAGUAACACGUGGGCAACCUACCUUAUAGUUUGGGAUAACUCCGGGGAACCGGGGCUAAUACCGAAUAAUCUAUUUUACUUCAUGGUGAAAUACUGAAAGACGGUUUCGGCUGUCGCUAUAAGAAUGGGCCCGCGGGCGCAUUAGCUAGAUUGGUGAGGUAAGGGCUCACCAAGGGCGACGAUGCGUAGCCGACCUGAGAGGGUGAUCGGCCACACUGGGACUGAGACACGGCCCAGACUCCUACGGGAGGCAGCAGUAGGGAAUCUUCCACAAUGGGCGAAAGCCUGAUGGAGCAACGCC